GAUGAACGCUGACAGAAUGCUUAACACAUGCAAGUCUUUGGCGAAGCUGUGCUUGCACCGCCUAGCCAAGGCGGACGGGUGAGUAACGCGUAAGGAACUUGCCCUGCAGUCAGGGAUAACAGACGGAAACGACUGAUAAGACCUGGUAAAGUCAGGCGGACUCAUGUCCAGCCUGAUGAAAAUAGAUGCUGCAGGAGAGCCUUGCAUCCUAUUAGCUUGUUGGUGGGGUAACGGCCCACCAAGGCGAUGAUAGGUAGCCGGCCUGAGAGGGUGGACGGCCACAAGGGGACUGAGAUACGGCCGUUACUACUACGGGAGGCAGCAGUGGGGAAUAUUGGACAAUGGGGGCAACCCUGAUCCAGCAAUUCUGUGUGCACGAUGAAGGUUUUCGGAUUGUAAAGUGCCUUCAGCAGGGAAGAAAAAAAUGACGGUACCUGCAGAAGAAGCGACGGCUAAAUACGUG
This 463-nucleotide ribosomal RNA is filed under the name uncultured bacterium. RNAcentral's name for it is "partial 16S ribosomal RNA". It matches the Rfam family "Bacterial small subunit ribosomal RNA", at positions 28 to 507 of the family's 1533-position model. The record is from RNAcentral.